CUCAAUGAAAUAUGGGAAACUAUCCUAUCCACAUAUAAAUAUGCCUGUGGCGAUAUAUCUGGUAUUAAAGCUAGCUGAGUAUAUACAUCGUAAUUGGUAACUUGAUGGCUGUUGCUUUCGUGUAUUAAUGGCUGGGUGUCUUGUUCAACUGGUACACUUUGGAAGUACUACAUGUUUAUAGAAAAAUAAAAUUAUAUUUAAUAAAUAUUUAUUCAGUUUCUAACACAUAAAUAAAAUAUAAUACAAUGGUAGGUUAAAAAAAUGCUGUAUAUAUUGUUGCAAACUAAAUAAAUCAAUCUAUUAUAGAGCUACACCAGAUUCUUGCUGUUAAAUGUUAUACUUUCUUUAAUUGUGUCAUUGGCAUUAAUUGCAACAAAUACCAACAAUGCAAAAACAAGAUACAAAUUGUGCAUUGACCAGUAUUUAAACAGUGUACUGCAUUGACUAAUAAAAAAAGUUAUUUGAUAAACUUAUCUGGUAGUAAUUUACUCUGUCUAACAUAGUUCGGAAAGGGUCUGUAUUAUAUCUCCUAUUUUAUAAAUAUUCCCCCUAUUACAGACUGCUAAUAACCUCUUUCAGAGAGCAAAAUUUGACAUUUGGACUUGUAGUUUAAUUAAUUAAAAACCACUUGUUCUGUAAUUUCUACGAUGGUUUUCUUAUCACGCCCCUCUUUAAUUAACACAUCCUCUUUUAGUAACCUCCCCCCCCUCCCCAUAACAAAACAUAACAUUUUUUCAUGGUUUAUCCUCUUGAAGCAAGGAGGUUUUAAACUAUGUCUAAUCAAGGAUGGAUCCAGCAUGAUUUAGUAGGGGGGGGGGGGUGCUCUACCAGCUCUGGUGCUGAGUUGUGUCUGUCAUGUGUGCCGCCAGCCCAUCAACUUGCUUCACUACUGCAAAGUCUUGCUUCACUACUGUAUUUGAAUUGUUGUGCACAGUUCACUUAUCAUCAUGUUAUUGCUCAAAUUACUGUAUCUCAUUUUGUCUCUAAUAUUUUUCCCCUUUAUCAUGAAAAAUAGCACGCCCCCCCCCCCCUCUGGCCAGGGUAGGGGGAUGCACCCCCACUCCCCCAGUAAAUCCUUCCCUGUGUCUAAUGGCUAUGUUUUUGUUUGUCAUACAAAUCCACACAAAAGUCUAUAUUCCUCUUAUUAACAUUAUGGUUGAACAUAGACUAUCACACUGAUAACAAAGUAGCCUGCCUCACAGACAUCCUCAAAUGGCUCAGAGCCAUAAGG
Molecule: non-coding RNA, 1231 nt
Organism: Paramuricea clavata
Lineage: Eukaryota; Metazoa; Cnidaria; Anthozoa; Malacalcyonacea; Plexauridae
Source: the annotation of a GenBank genome assembly